GUGCCAGCAGCCGCGGUAAUACGUAGGUGGCAAGCGUUGUCCGGAAUUAUUGGGCGUAAAGCGCGCGCAGGCGGUCCUUUAAGUCUGAUGUGAAAGCCCACGGCUCAACCGUGGAGGGUCAUUGGAAACUGGGGGACUUGAGUACAGAAGAGGAAAGCGGAAUUCCACGUGUAGCGGUGAAAUGCGUAGAGAUGUGGAGGAACACCAGUGGCGAAGGCGGCUUUCUGGUCUGUAACUGACGCUGAGGCGCGAAAGCGUGGGGAGCAAACAGGAUUAGAUACCCUGGUGGUCC
Molecule: ribosomal RNA, 292 nt
Filed under: uncultured microorganism
Description: partial 16S ribosomal RNA
Rfam family: Bacterial small subunit ribosomal RNA
Source: RNAcentral